UUAUCCAAUGGCAGAGAAGGUGGAAGGUGGGACAGCUUCGGCUGGGCGCUCGUCGGCGAGCUCGUCGGCCGUCCGGCUCUCCCCUCCGCUUGCGGCCCUCUCGGCCUCUCCUCCACUUCUUGCGUCCCCGUCCCCCCUGUAGGGCAUCCUCGACGUUCCUAACCUCAAGAAGUGCGGCGGCGGCAGAUCCGCGUGGGGGCGUCGAGCGCAGCUGGAUCGUGAAGGCCUCUGCAGCCUCCGUGCAGACGCUCGAGGUCAACAACGCCACCAUGAUGUACAGCUGCGAGCUGCCCACCCGUGUCCUCAGCCUCUUCGUCCCACUCUUGGUGUCUCCUCAAAGAUCCUCAGCAGGGAGCGCAUCAUUGUCGUCAACUCCAAGCUGAUCCGAUGCGUCAAGAGGUAAUCCUCUACUCACUUGACCGCUGACGAGGUCUUCCAAUACGCCGCCGGUGUGCAGCCACUCUCCUCUCUCUCUCUUUCCCUCCCUCUGGUAUCCCUCUCUAUCUUGCUGGAACGGCACCGACCAUCACUGGUCUGGACUCACACCCAACUUGAUUUUUCCUUGUGCUGAUUUGGGGUUAGUUUAGGUCCAGGACUCCAGGGGCAGGCGCUAAUGGAGAGUUUGAGAAUGAAUGCGAGAGGACUUGAUACAUCAUGGUCUCCUUGUGCUUUGUUGUUUGGUUGGUGUAGAAUCCCUCAGCUCUUACCAAGAGGCUCUAGCUUCGAACAUGACUCUUUUAGUAGUUGGAGUGUUGCACGCAUGGAAUUGAUCGCAGAGAGGAAGCGAAGCAGCAACAGUUUGGGUUCAGAGAAGAUUAGGAGCAACAGUUCAUUGGAGAAGGAGAGGUACAUCAGCCGAGGGCAGCAGCGGAGAGCAAAAUCAGCAGGUUAGGGGCGGCAGGAGAGGAUCAGAAGUAGAGAUGAGUGCGAUUCAAUUGCCAUUGAUAAUGAUUCAACUUGAGUUUGCACCAUCCUUGUGUUACUAAAUAGUUUUUUCCUUUUUCACUUGUGAUUAUGUACUAGAGAUUUGCAAGGAUGCAUUGGAUUCUUUUUAUACUGAUUUGAUGCACUCUGACUUUGGAAUGCGAACAAAUGUGUUCUUCAAUUGGCAUUGAUGAUUCAGACUUUAGUUUGCUAAUACUGUAGCUGACAUAACCUUAUGUGUUACUCGGCUAUACUAAGUGGAUUGAGCUUUUUGUUA
RNA transcript from Triticum dicoccoides, 1201 nucleotides. It is a transcript of the gene named magnesium transporter MRS2-B-like, with no coding region annotated. NCBI's taxonomy places the organism in Eukaryota, Viridiplantae, Streptophyta, Magnoliopsida, Poales, Poaceae. The transcript is spliced from 4 exons. The record is from RefSeq and is a predicted model, not a curated record.